RNAcentral lists this ribosomal RNA (251 nucleotides) under uncultured bacterium. RNAcentral describes it as "partial 16S ribosomal RNA". It matches the Rfam family "Bacterial small subunit ribosomal RNA", at positions 524 to 774 of the family's 1533-position model. The record is from RNAcentral.
UACGUAGGGUGCAAGCGUUAAUCGGAAUUACUGGGCGUAAAGCGUGCGCAGGCGGUGAUGUAAGACAGGUGUGAAAUCCCCGGGCUUAACCUGGGAACUGCAUUUGUGACUGCAUCGCUGGAGUGCGGCAGAGGGGGAUGGAAUUCCGCGUGUAGCAGUGAAAUGCGUAGAUAUGCGGAGGAACACCGAUGGCGAAGGCAGCCUCCUGGGCCAGCACUGACGCUCAUGCACGAAAGCGUGGGGAGCAAACA